This 515-nucleotide ribosomal RNA is filed under the name uncultured bacterium. Its description in RNAcentral is "partial 16S ribosomal RNA". It matches the Rfam family "Bacterial small subunit ribosomal RNA", at positions 28 to 523 of the family's 1533-position model. The record is from RNAcentral.
GAUGAACGCUGGCGGCGUGCCUAAUACAUGCAAGUCGAGCGAAUGGAUUAAGAGCUUGCUCUUAUGAAGUUAGCGGCGGACGGGUGAGUAACACGUGGGUAACCUGCCCAUAAGACUGGGAUAACUCCGGGAAACCGGGGCUAAUACCGGAUAAUAUUUUGAACUGCAUGGUUCAGAAUUGAAAGGCGGCUUCGGCUGUCACUUAUGGAUGGACCCGGGUCGCAUUAGCUAGUUGGUGAGGUAACGGCUCACCAAGGCAACGAUGCGUAGCCGACCUGAGAGGGUGAUCGGCCACACUGGGACUGAGACACGGCCCAGGCUCCUACGGGAGGCAGCAGUAGGGAAUCUUCCGCAAUGGACGAAAGUCUGACGGAGCAACGCCGCGUGAGUGAUGAAGGCUUUCGGGUCGUAAAACUCUGUUGUUAGGGAAGAACAAGUGCUAGUUGAAUAAGCUGGCACCUUGACGGUACCUAACCAGAAAGCCACGGCUAACUACGUGCCAGCCGCCGCGGUAA